AUUGAACGCUGGCGGCAGGCUUAACACAUGCAAGUCGAGCGAGCGGCGGACGGGUGAGUAAUGUCUGGGAAACUGCCUGGUGGAGGGGGAUAACUACGGGAAACGGGAGAUAAUACCGCAUAACAGCAGAUGUGCCCAGAUGGGAUUAGUUAGUAGGUGGGGUAAUGGCUCACCUAGGCGACGAUCCCUAGCUGGUCUGAGAGGAUGACCAGCCACACUGGAACUGAGACACGGUCCAGACUCCUACGGGAGGCAGCAGUGGGGAAUAUUGCACAAUGGGCGCAAGCCUGAUGCAGCCAUGCCGCGUGUAUGAAGAAGGCCUUCGGGUUGUAAAGUACUUUCAGCGAGGAGGCGUUACUCGCAGAAGAAGCACCGGCUAACUCCGUGCCAGCAGCCGCGGUAAUAC
Molecule: ribosomal RNA, 406 nt
Filed under: uncultured bacterium
Lineage: Bacteria
Description: partial 16S ribosomal RNA
Rfam family: Bacterial small subunit ribosomal RNA
Source: RNAcentral